Long non-coding RNA from Oreochromis aureus, 479 nucleotides. RefSeq lists it as uncharacterized. NCBI's taxonomy places the organism in Eukaryota, Metazoa, Chordata, Actinopteri, Cichliformes, Cichlidae. The transcript has 3 exons. The record is from RefSeq and is a predicted model, not a curated record.
ACCAACUACGUCCAUGCCAAGACGCUGAAAUGGUAUACCAAUGAUUGGGAGAGGUUGGAGUGGUGCUUUGAUGGGGACCCUUAUUGAAGUCUUCUGACAUUGAGGAGAACUUCUGCAAAACAUAGCAACAUCUGAGCGCAAGCCAGGCCAAAAAAAGUAUCGCUUAAUGCGAGCAGUGGUUUUAUACUUCCCCAGGUGGCCAGCCCAGGGAAUGGAGUGCCCCAAAGUACUGAAAAACCUAAAGGCAUAUCUGGAGCAACCUGAACUGAUGUCUUUCCAACAGUGUGUUGAAAUUUUUCACGUCUUCUUUGACUGCGUGGCUUCCGAGACUUCCCGGGUUCUGUCUCUAGUUCAGCCUCAAAGAAGGAUCAUAGAUGACUGGCAGAUCCUCCCCAAGAACUACAGGAUAGGGCAGACUAUCAGCUACACCAACCUUUAACAGAUAGGAUGUCCCCUGCACUUCAAUAAACAGAUCAGUA